CUAAAUAUUAAAAUAGAAAAUAUCAUCAUUACAUUUUAUUUUACAACUAAAUAUGGGAAUGGAAUCACAAGAUCUAUUACAUUAUAUUACCCCUAAUAGACUUGGUCUUAAAACAAAUAGAAAGGGGAAAAAUAUAAAAAAAAUUAGAGUUACUUCCAUGCUCCAAUAUUUUUAACGUGGUCCUACCUCUGAAAUUGAACACUGAUUAACUGAGAGUUGGGAAGAGCAGCUUUUGGAUUGAGUACCAGACAUAAUUGUUGUAUGGUGGCCAUACCUACGAUAUGCAGGUUUUGACAAUGCAGGGACAGCAACAGUGCAGCUAUCAAGCAUGAGAACAACCGAAGCCAUAGUUGGCCUUUUUGCUGCAUCAUCUUGCAAGCACAGCAAUCCUAUUUGGAUGCAUCUCACUAUAUCAUGUGUCGAAGCAGCUCCUAUCAGAAUAGGAUCUAUGAUAUUUGAAGCAGUCCCUCCAAUCCAAUUAUCCCAGGCCUAAACAAAAUUCAAAAGAAAUAUGCAUAUGAUCUUUUUAAUUAUUUUUGUUUAGAUUUGCCCAUAUUCAAUAGCCAAUGUAAUGGAGAAAUAUAGAAAUAAAAAUAUUUUACUUACAUAGGUUAUAAGGUCCCCUCCUCCUUCUUCCCCAAUACAGAAUUUAUUACUCUUUUGGCCAGUGAUAAUUUCCAAAAUCAAUACACCAAAGCUAAAAACAUCUGACUUCACUGAGAGGAUCCCUUGAAAUGCAUACUCUGGAGCCAUGUAGCCACUGAACUUAACCAUUAGUCAACUAAUUAUACUUUCCAAACACUUCAUGAUUAUAAACAAAAUUUAACUGGAGAUUCUUAUACUUACAAGGUUCCCACAAUUUUGCUUGUAGCAUCCUUAGAUUGAUCUAUGGGAAACAACCUUGCUGUUCCGAAGUCUGAAAUUUUAGGAUU
This 932-nucleotide unclassified non-coding RNA is filed under the name Hevea brasiliensis (rubber tree). The record is from RNAcentral. Lineage: Eukaryota; Viridiplantae; Streptophyta; Magnoliopsida; Malpighiales; Euphorbiaceae.